Molecule: ribosomal RNA, 465 nt
Filed under: uncultured Klebsiella sp.
Lineage: Bacteria; Pseudomonadati; Pseudomonadota; Gammaproteobacteria; Enterobacterales; Enterobacteriaceae
Description: bacterial SSU rRNA
Rfam family: Bacterial small subunit ribosomal RNA
Source: RNAcentral
CCUACGGGGGGCAGCAGUGGGGAAUAUUGCACAAUGAGCGCAAGCCUGAUGCAGCCAUGCCGCGUGUGUGAAGAAGGCCUUCGGGUUGUAAAGCACUUUCAGCGGGGAGGAAGGCGGUGAGGUUAAUAACCUCAUCGAUUGACGUUACCCGCAGAAGAAGCACCGGCUAACUCCGUGCCAGCAGCCGCGGUAAUACGGAGGGUGCAAGCGUUAAUCGGAAUUACUGGGCGUAAAGCGCACGCAGGCGGUCUGUCAAGUCGGAUGUGAAAUCCCCGGGCUCAACCUGGGAACUGCAUUCGAAACUGGCAGGCUAGAGUCUUGUAGAGGGGGGUAGAAUUCCAGGUGUAGCGGUGAAAUGCGUAGAGAUCUGGAGGAAUACCGGUGGCGAAGGCGGCCCCCUGGACAAAGACUGACGCUCAGGUGCGAAAGCGUGGGGAGCAAACAGGAUUAGAUACCCGAGUAGUC